AUGCGACGUGGUGGAGGGGCGCGCGGUGAGGAGGCCUGCGUCCUUGCCACAGAGGUCGACGACGGUGGUGCGGACGAGGCGGAUGAGGGAGACGAGAUGCUUGUUAAGGUUGACCUUGCCGACCAGCACCAUCUCGACGACCUCCAUGGUGAGAGCGUCGGUGACGCGGAGGCCGUUGCGGAACUGCGGCUCGACGCUGACGCGCUGCAACCAGGAGUUGAUCCGCGGACCGCCGCCAUGCAUGAGCAGAGGGCGCAGGCCGACGCAGGAGAGGAGGACCAGGUCACGGUCUCACGGAUCACCGACGCCUACAGCUCCCGUGACUUCAUGGCCGCGCUGCCGUACUUCACUGCCACCAUCUUGCCAUUGAACCGUUGGAUCAAGGGGAACACCUCCUACAGGUCAUCCACGCGGGUUCAGCGCCGCGGCCGCGGGGAGGGAGGCGGACGCGGGCCGCGCUGGUGCCAAGAGAAGGCCGAGACACCCUGUAUCUGUUGUUCUGAAUACAAUGUCUUGUGUUUGCAUUUUUUAAGUGAGAUCCCACUUUCAACCGCUUAA
Molecule: ribosomal RNA, 558 nt
Filed under: Triticum aestivum (bread wheat)
Lineage: Eukaryota; Viridiplantae; Streptophyta; Magnoliopsida; Poales; Poaceae
Description: partial small subunit ribosomal RNA
Source: RNAcentral